Molecule: long non-coding RNA, 408 nt
Filed under: Homo sapiens (human)
Lineage: Eukaryota; Metazoa; Chordata; Mammalia; Primates; Hominidae
Description: long non-coding RNA NONHSAT150841.1
Source: RNAcentral
AACGAUUUGAAAGCUGCCAACCGGAGGUGAAAAUCUUGCCACUUGUGAAACUGAAGGAACAUCCCCAAGGCCUGGCUUCUCCUUUUAACAGAAGCUUUCUUUCAGGGUCCCCCUCCUGGAUGUGGCAGGCCUCCCAGAUUCCCCUGGAAGUUCUGACUUGCCCAUACACACAAGGACCUCAGGAAACCCAAUAGUGACUUUCCUCAGAUCUGUGAAUUCCUUCUUCUGGAAAAUAACCUUCUCAACAAUUGUAUAAUGGAGUCCUUUAUGUUGUAAACAAGAAUAAAAAAGAAAGUAUAGAUAUUGUGGAGUAGUUUUUUUGUGGGGGGGGGGUCCUUUCUUUAAAAACCGUGUGAAUAUGUGGUUCUCAAUCAUUAUAUCCAAAACAUUUUACUAUUUUUCUUGUAA